GGGCUGGCUGACUUUGUCCACAUGCAACUACAGACCUGGGGGCAGCAUGAGGACAUCCUUUCACAGAGGCAGCAAAUGAAGAAAAGAAAAAGGAAGCCACCCCAGCACUUUCUACCUUCUGCUUUGAUCAAGGCCAUGCAAAGAGGCUGGAUGAGGCCCAUUUACAUCCAAGACAGUUGUGGUGCUGGUCCACUGGAGCUGUGCAGCCACACGUGCUAUUUUCCAUCAAGCAGGAGACUCUGCUGGCCCAGCUGGCUGUGUGGGAGACCAGGAGUGUUGCUUCUGACCGGGUCCCCUAGACUUCAAGCAGCUCAUACAUUGCAUGAGGGGCUAUAGGACUCCUGCAUGCAAUGAGGAAGGCAGAAUAUGGCAAGUUCUCUCCUUAAGGUUUUGACUCAUCCAUGUAACAGAGAAAUGAAGAAUUUUAAUGUGGUCCAAAGCAAGAGCUCUGGAUGAAUUACAAUCUGCAAUUGCUCCAGGUAUUUGUGACACUGGAAAUGAACUCUUAUUUCUGCAGCCUUUGUACUUUGCUUCAUUAGACAUUACCUCGCCAAAAAUCAUCCCCACCCCACUUAGCAGAGAUGAGAUGCUGAAGAAUACCGCAGGGAGAACUACUUUUAACCAUAAUCCUGGAAAUGCUGAUGCCUGAGUUGUCCUAGUGAAAAACAUGUAUGACUCAUGGAGUUACACAAGCACAUUUAGUUCUGGAAAGUAGCUGUAGCUUUUCCAGAACAUCCCCUACAGUUCUUGGCAAGAGCUUGAGAGACCUUUCACACGUCCAGGAUGUCAAGUAAUGUAGUGAAUGAUAAAGAUCUGUAUGCUUAUGUGUAUAUUUAACCAUCAUUUAACAAAAAAUACUUUUAUUAGACAAGAAAGGGAUAUUAUCAUCAGUGUUAGUUCUCUGCUUGCUUUGCCUUGGGGCUUGUUUCUUUCUGCAUUGUAGCCAUUGUGAAAGGUGGUAGGGAAUCUAUCUGUAGAAAUUCCCCUCUGCUCAGAUAAGAAGAUGCAGUUUGGUAUUAUUUAGAACUUUCUAUAGUUUGUCUUAGCUAGAAAGAUCAUUUCUCUUCCCCCCACUGCCAAGAGAUACAAAGUCAUUAGUUACUUGGGGCUCAGUUUUCAAACAGUGUAGUGCAGUUACUGGUUGAGUUCACUUCUGACUUCCGCAAGAUCUUCAGGUACUCGAUACCUGGAAGAUAAUGCCAGUCAGUGGUAUUACAACCCAGAAAAGAAGAAUUAUGCCACUUAAUUAAUACAUGGUAAAAUAGCAGACC
This 1271-nucleotide long non-coding RNA is filed under the name Phasianus colchicus (ring-necked pheasant). RNAcentral's name for it is "lncRNA (ENSPCLG00000008134.1)". Lineage: Eukaryota; Metazoa; Chordata; Aves; Galliformes; Phasianidae. The record is from RNAcentral.